Molecule: long non-coding RNA, 564 nt
Filed under: Coffea arabica (coffee)
Lineage: Eukaryota; Viridiplantae; Streptophyta; Magnoliopsida; Gentianales; Rubiaceae
Description: long non-coding RNA (CARA_LNC005015)
Source: RNAcentral
UUCUCUCUUGCCUCUCUGGUUCCUUUCUCUCCUCCAUUCUUCCAUGGAUUUCCUGAGAAAAUAAAUAGAAUAACGGCACACAGCUUCUAUUCUCUCUUUCUUCUUCAUUUUUCCCCUCUUCCCCUCUUUUAAAGAUUAUUCAAAAAAAUGACACUUAAAACCCACAUUUUUAUUCUCUCUGUUUUUUUCCGUUUUGUCUCCUUCUUAUCCUGAAAUAGGAGAACCUUGAAGAUUUGGUCGAUCUUGUUUGCUCAACUGCUCACGUUUGAUUUUUCUUUUUCCGUUUCUGAUUUUUAUCCAUCCCUUUUCCUCAUAAACUUAUGAUUUUUCCCUCUUUCUGCGCAGAAAAGUUUAUAUUUUCUCUCAGUUAUUUUUCUCUUUAUUUGUAUAUAAUUACCUUGGAGAUCUUUCUUAUCUGAUUUAUUUUCUCUCCGCUGAUCUCGCCAUUUUUUAGUUUUAAAAUUUUCCUUUAUUUUGACUGAUUUUUUCAUGUUUGUUUCAGGGUGCAAGUUUAAGGCUUGCAUGUUAUUAUCUGGUAUCCUCAAUCUCUACAAAACCCGCCAG